CGGAGGAUCCGAGCGUUAUCCGGAUUUAUUGGGUUUAAAGGGUGCGUAGGUGGGCCUGUAAGUCAGUGGUGAAAGUUUGCAGCUUAACUGUAAAAUUGCCGUUGAAACUGCCGGUCUUGAGUGCAAAUGAGGUAAGCGGAAUGUGUUGUGUAGCGGUGAAAUGCUUAGAUAUGACACAGAACACCGAUUGCGAAGGCAGCUUACUGGGAUGCCACUGACACUGAGGCACGAAAGCGUGGGUAUCAAACAGGAUUAGAUA
Molecule: ribosomal RNA, 259 nt
Filed under: uncultured prokaryote
Description: partial 16S ribosomal RNA
Rfam family: Bacterial small subunit ribosomal RNA
Source: RNAcentral